This 459-nucleotide ribosomal RNA is filed under the name uncultured bacterium. Its description in RNAcentral is "partial 16S ribosomal RNA". It matches the Rfam family "Bacterial small subunit ribosomal RNA", at positions 338 to 795 of the family's 1533-position model. The record is from RNAcentral.
CCUACGGGAGGCUGCAGUGAGGAAUAUUGGUCAAUGGCCGAGAGGCUGAACCAGCCAAGUCGCGUGAGGGAAGACGGCCCUACGGGUUGUAAACCUCUUUUGUCGGGGAGCAAAGAGAGUCACGUGUGACUCAUUGAGAGUACCCGAAGAAAAAGCAUCGGCUAACUCCGUGCCAGCAGCCGCGGUAAUACGGAGGAUGCGAGCGUUAUCCGGAUUUAUUGGGUUUAAAGGGUGCGCAGGCGGAGGUGCAAGUCCGCGGUCAAAUUGCGGGGCUCAACCCCGUACUGCCGUUGAAACUGCAUCCCUUGAGUGUGCGAGAAGUAUGCGGAAUGCGUGGUGUAGCGGUGAAAUGCAUAGAUAUCACGAAGAACUCCGAUUGCGAAGGCAGCAUACCGGCUCCAUACUGACGCUGAGGCACGAAAGCGUGGGGAUCGAACAGGAUUAGAUACCCGUGUAGUC